AUCACAUUCUGAGCAUUAAAGAGAUAAAAAGUCAAAAUCUAUGUGUGAAUCAUCAUGCCAUCCGGCAUAGAUUAGAUCCGUUUAUUGAAUCCAACAACUUGGUUAUGUUGGGCUGCCGGGGAGCAGGCUAGUCAAGUAUUUGAGGUGAGGUAGCAAUACCAUAGCACCUGCCCGGUCUUCAACUGAGAAACACUGGCUCCGAGGCUACUGGAAGGGAAAGGAAUAUAAAGGAGAAGGAGAACGAACCCCUUCUUCUUCACAAUCCCUUUUCACUUUCCAAUUAAGAAGAAGAAGAAACGACAGCACUACCUUCAACCUCAUAAUCCAACGCACCACCACCAGCUCAACGCCUCCUUUCUCUCGAAGUUUUUCGUGGCCUUGCCAUCGCCGUAAUCAAGAUCAAUUUCUUCACAGGUUUUUUUUCCCCUUACAGCCCAUGAUUUUAGUUGAUGAUGCUGGAGGAGCUUUUCCUUGUAUCAAUCACUCUCCGGGGUUUGGCGUGACGCUUUCUGAUUUUGUGAUGCCCUUUUUCCUCUUUGUUGUUGGUGUCUCCAUCAGUUUAGUUUUUAAGGGAACAAAUUUCUCUUCAUUAUCAGGUUAAACAGGUGCUUCUUUCUUUCCUUUCACGUAGCUCUUCUGCACAAUUGAAUUUGAUAACAUUUUCUUGAGCUAAAUUUUUUUUUCAGAGUCAUAAUUAAACGACAAUAAGUUCAAGUCUCUUUAACUCAAGGCUGUUGAGGAGAUACGAAGUCCUAAUAGGGCUCAAGCAAAAUUUAGACCGAAGGUUCAAAACUCAUUUAACAAGCUUUUCUGUCUGCGUCAGACUGCCAUCUUUCUCCAUUUUGAAGUCUAGGAAGAAACUGGACUAGAGGACCAUUUUCUGUGGUGAUUUCUUGUACUAUAAUCAUGAUGUUGGAUUCAAGAAUAGCAUGAUGUUAUAAGAAUUUUUCUUCCAUUUUGGCAUCUGGAAGGGCUUUGUACUUUGAAGCUUGCUCCCAUCACCAGGUCCAGUCAUUUUAGCUCGCAAAAGUUGAAAGGAAAUACAAGUGACUCCCAUUGUGUCAAAGUACAUCCCUAUUGGAUCAAAACUCGAGGGCAGAAAAAAAAAGGGUUUACUUAUUGCUCAACCAUAAACUGAAUGCUGGAUUAGAUGUUUUAUACAUAUUGGUGGCAAAGUAAAUUUAAUUAGAAAGAUCGUUAAUUUAAUGAUUUUGAUGAUAAAGUUUAUAGUACAUCACUUUUAAUUUUCCGAGAUUGCUUUUGCAGGAUGGUCGCUUUCUGGCUGUAUGGCCUUUAUGAUCCAGACUGGGAAUUUGAAGUUCCAAGCACACAUCUGUUUGGUUACAAAUCUGGUACUAAAACUGUGAAUUGUGGAGUGAAGGGAAGUCUUGAACCUCCUUGUAAUGCAGUUGGCCUGAUUGAUCGAUUUUUUCUUGGUGAGCAUCCUCUAUAUCAGCACCCUGUGUAUAGAAGAACAAUGGUGAUGUUCUGAGGUACUCUCUAACACAUAACAAUUACAUUGUUUUCAUAGCAAUGUAGUGUUAAUUCUCCUGACUAUAGACCUCCAGUACCAGAUUCACCUGGUUGGUUCCUUGCUCCAUUUGACUCCAAGGGCAUCUUGAGGUCAGAUAAACUGCAAUGCUUUCUCUUGCUCCAUAUUCUUAUGAAUCACCAGAUUAUUUUCUCCAUUAUAAUAACGUACAUUAAAGCCAAGUGCCUAUUUCAGAUGCUUUCACUGUACUAAUGUAUAGUGAUACAGCUCUUAGCAUGUCAGCAAAUAAUCAGCUCCUUUUUUUUUUCCCAGUUUUGAAAAACUUUACAUGGGUUCCUUGUUUUGUGCCAAUUAUCAUUUAGGUUUCCCAAAUUUAAUAAUUUAUCAAUGAGGUCCCUUAAGUAUCACAUAUAUUUCAAUGGAGUCCGGUCAUCAACUUUGGUUAAUAUUUUAUAUCAUUUUAUGCACUAAAACAAGACUGGAUUGAUGAGAAUUUGACAUUUUUAGAUGAAAGACCUAAUAGAAAAAUGUGUUGACACUCAAAAAAUGAAACUGAUAAAUAGAUAGAUUUAGAUGAAUUUAAGAAUUAGUUAUUAAGUUAGGAAAGAAAAUUAAAUGCUCUGAUGUUUAUCAACUGCAUGGAGGACAAAUAAAUUAUACUAAUAUAUUAAAAUAUAGAAAUAUCCAUAGCAACUUGAGGGUGUCAUUCUAAUUGAUUGCAAAAAUUGAAGUAAAAUUAUCUGCUGAAAUAGCGUUUCAUUUACAUAAUCUUCUGACACCAAAAAAAAGAAGAAGCUUUUGUGUCAAUGACAAACUUUAGUGUUGAUUUCUUUUCUUAACAAUCUUUUCAGUUUCUUGAUGGCUUCUUAUAACAUGUUUUCUUGGAUUGCAGUUUGGUCAUAUACUUGUUCAUUUUAAGGGCCACAUGCAGAGGCUGUAUUUGUGGUCGGCGUGUUCUUUCACUGUACAUUACUGGAUAUGUGUUAAAACUUCUCGGUAGAUUUCCUAUUUUAAAUAUUCAUUUAACAUCAAUGAUUUCUACCAGGAUCCUCUCCUUUUCCGUUAAGUAAUAUUUGGGAAUAUUUCAGGUGCUCCUUUUUAUAAACCAUUAUAUAUGUUGAGCUAUGUGUGCAUUACAGCGAAAGCAUCAGGCUUGGCUUUAAUGAUUAUCUUUUACAUAAUAAGUUUAUCAUCCGCUUACUACCUAAUAAAAAAAUUCUAGCGUUGCACUUGGUAGUUCUCUGGUUAUUCAGAAAAACUUAUGAUAUUAAAUUUAUAUACGAUGCGCUUGCUUUCUUGUGUUCAACAAGGAGAUCUUAUUGACUCAUAUCACUUAGCCUGAGCUAUUCAUACAAUUUAAUUGGGUUAAAAUCACGGAAAUUAUGAUAAUAUAGAAACAGGCGGUUUCUUCUUGACAUGUUUAUGGACUGAAAGCUUCAGCUUAGUUUUAGUGGGGUUUUGUCUGUUCUGAUCUAUACUUGCUUUCAAUACAUUGACAUGGCUUACUUGUUAUCCAUUUACCACCAACAUGGCAAAAUAAGUAGGUCUACAGAGCUUGAUUUAUCUUGUUAUAAUGUCUGAGCAUCUUCUUUACCUAAAAUUUCAUUGAACAUGGUAAAUUAUGUUCCAGUGUAGAGCUUUGGAAUUAUCAUGGCUUUUGAGGUUGGGGAAGAAAUAGUCUUACGAGGAUAUAGCAAAUCUCCCUGCCAUCUAUAGGGGAUUGGCUAGAUCUUAACUUGGAUUAUUGUUGGGAUGGUUUACAACAUUAGAGUUUUUAUCUGUUUAUAUCCAUACUCUUGUUAGAUACACUGACAUGGCUUGCUUCCCAUCACAUGAAGAUGUUGUAACUUACAACUCUCAGUCCCAUUGUUUUGUCAUCCCCUUUUCUUUUCUUUCCCACUUUUGUGCAGUGGAGAGAUUUUGAAAAGAUUGAGAGACUAAAGGAGAUUGGCAUGAAAGAAUCAUUUCAAUUCAACCAUAUUUUAUGCAGGCUGAUGUCUAACAUUUUAGAAAACCCUCAAUGGUACUUCAGUGGAUGGGAAUGAAUGCACUCAUCAUUUAUGCAUUGGCUGCAUGUGACCUUUUCACAGCAGCCAUUCAAGGUUUCUAUUGGGGUUCACCGGAAAACAACUUGGUAUGACUGUUUCCUACUUGGCUGCUAGUCCUGUUCUGAGUUAUUCCUUCUCCACCCAAUCUCUCCCCCAAAUAAAUAUUUGUUAGUGUAAUGGCUGGCGUUCUGCUUUUUGGUGCAAGUUUCUGCACUAUGUGAACAAAUGCAGAGGCGUAUGCUCCCGUGCACACACUGAUAGAGGAUCCACCUACAUGUUUAAAACUAUUAUUAUUACACAAUCUUUCAACCAUUGAUUUUCUGCAGUCGAAUGGCUGAUACCAACGGUUGAUUUUCUGCAGUCGAAUGGCUGAUACAAUGUCAUACCUCAUAUACAAUUACCGCUUACAACUAAAUAUGACAUGCAGGUUACUGUUAAAACAUACUACUAUAUUAGAACAUACCACAGUUACUGUUGCUUCUCACUAUUUCAUUCUUCCCCUUCAGAUCUAUAGUUUGCUGAACCUAUAGUCAAUGUUCUGAAUGUUUUUGUGCUUGCAACUAAAUAUGACAUGCAGGUUGAUGGCACAUAAUCGCUGUUGCAAGCCAUGUUCCAUUCAAAGAAAUGGAGCACCUGAGUUUUUGUACCAGUGGUGAUUUUAUUUUGAAGGGCAUGAAUGCGAGACUGCAUAGUAUUGUAGAUACUGCUUGUUCCCUGUGAAAGACUAAAUUAUACAUUGUUAUUCCUGCAACAGUGUCUUUUAAACGAUGAUCAAGAGUCAGGAUCAAUUUAGUCUUGAGAUUAUUUGCGUCAUCUUUCCACUUUAAUUCUUAGUUGCAACAUAAAGACGUACAAUUAAAGAAAAAGGAAAAAAGAAGAUCAUCACUCAAAGGUGUUCCGGAUAGGGAAAAAGGCAUUGGAUUGUUUCAACCUUACUCAUUCCUUAGAGCUGGAAAAAAAAGAUAAGGUAAAAUACGAAGGCAAGCCCUGUUCGGUGGCUUUCCUGUAUUCACAGGGGGCGGCAGAGAAUCAACAUUAGCCCAAAAGUGUUAGCUUUGACUAGUGAUUAAUCAUAGCAAAUUGCCAAGCGUGUAUUGAUAUUUAUCUAACCUCCACCCGCAGGAGGAUUUCGAGUUCCUAGUCCUGAAAAAUAUUAUUGCGGGGUGCCUUCUUGUCUUCGCCAAAAAGGCAAGCGAGAGGCAGCCACAAUAAUGCCAUAAUGGUUGAUUGUGCAGAUCACAGACUAACGGUUUUGUUUCUUCCUUUUCAAGAUAAGUAUCACUUCUUCUUUGCUAAAAGAGUUCUGCCAUGGAGUCAUCUUUCGGCCAUAAAAAACUUUGCCAGCUUCAGAUUCCACCAGGCAAGAUCACAAAAAGUUUUAUGCUCACUUGUAACCCUUUCUUUUCUAACUCGUAUAUAAUCACUCGCCUUGUAUUCCACACACCUUGUAGAGCCUACAGCCUCGCGAAACUCCUUCCCACUCUUCAAGGAAGCGAUUAGACGAGAGAGAGAGAGAUGGCAACUGAAAAGGCAGAUGUAGAGGUUUCUAACACCAACAACGACGGCAUCCAGAAUACCUCAACGCAAACCUCAGUUAACAGCGAGACACCGACAUCAGCUGUCCCGCGCUUUGGAAAAGCGCUAGCACACAGAGCCCUCUAUGGUUCAAGCAGCCGCCAUGGUGGAAGUCGAAAGGCCAGAUCCAGUGAUGUGAAAACAUUACCGAGUAGGCUAAGCAAGGUCUCACUAGCUGAUGACACAGAAAAUAGGGAAUGAGGGCUUUACUGUACUGAUCCUGUGCUAAAUUUCUGUGUAAUGGGAUAUCGUAGAAUUCGUAACAUUCCAAACCAAUGUACAACUCUGAUGCUUAAUAGAUAUCAGUAGAUAAAUAUUAGUUUCUA
Molecule: long non-coding RNA, 5441 nt
Organism: Populus nigra (black poplar)
Lineage: Eukaryota; Viridiplantae; Streptophyta; Magnoliopsida; Malpighiales; Salicaceae
Exons: 3
Source: RefSeq, a predicted model, not a curated record